Molecule: ribosomal RNA, 468 nt
Filed under: uncultured bacterium
Lineage: Bacteria
Description: partial 16S ribosomal RNA
Rfam family: Bacterial small subunit ribosomal RNA
Source: RNAcentral
GACGAACGCUGGCGGCGUGCUUAACACAUGCAAGUCGAACGGAAAGGCCCUGCUUUUGUGGGGUGCUCGAGUGGCGAACGGGUGAGUAACACGUGAGUAACCUGCCCUUGACUUUGGGAUAACUUCAGGAAACUGGGGCUAAUACCGGAUAGGAGCUCCUGCUGCAUGGUGGGGGUUGGAAAGUUUCGGCGGUUGGGGAUGGACUCGCGGCUUAUCAGCUUGUUGGUGGGGUAGUGGCUUACCAAGGCUUUGACGGGUAGCCGGCCUGAGAGGGUGACCGGCCACAUUGGGACUGAGAUACGGCCCAGACUCCUACGGGGGGCAGCGGUGGCGAAUAUUGCACAAUGGGCGGAAGCCUGAUGCAGCAACGCCGCGUGCGGGAUGACGGCCUUCGGGUUGUAAACCGCUUUCGCCUGUGACGAAGCGUGAGUGACGGUAAUGGGUAAAGAAGCACCGGCUAACUACGUG